This 341-nucleotide long non-coding RNA is filed under the name Fukomys damarensis (Damara mole-rat). RNAcentral's name for it is "lncRNA (ENSFDAG00000025622.1)". The record is from RNAcentral. Lineage: Eukaryota; Metazoa; Chordata; Mammalia; Rodentia; Bathyergidae.
CCAUUGAAUUCCUUAUCUGCUUUUAGAUGGACCAAAGACUAGAACCCCCUUAACAGAUACUCAGUUGGUUAUCCUUCUGGGAAACUGGAGAGAAUGGACAAAAAUGGCUAUUUCCAGACUGAGAUGCAGCCUGCUGUGCCUUUGCGGAGGCAACUUUUUGCUCACCCAGUGGUCUUCAAUUCUCAGCAGGCCACCAAGCGGCCUUUCCUCUGCUGCUCACUACUGCACCAAUUCCUGGGUUCAGAAUGGCUGCCUUCUGGAUCCCUGAGCUGACCCACUGUCCAGGCAGGCUUCUGGCUGGGGCCUGUGCACAGUUGGGAUGGUAUUUAGGUUGCCUCUGG